UAGGGAAUCUUCGGCAAUGGGGGGAACCCUGACCGAGCAACGCCGCGUGAGUGAAGAAGGUUUUCGGAUCGUAAAGCUCUGUUGUUAAGGAAGAACGAGUGUGAGAAUGGAAAGUUCAUGCUGUGACGGUACUUAACCAGAAAGGGACGGCUAACUACGUGCCAGCAGCCGCGGUAAUACGUAGGUCCCGAGCGUUGUCCGGAUUUAUUGGGCGUAAAGCGAGCGCAGGCGGUUAGAAAAGUCUGAAGUGAAAGGCAGUGGCUCAACCAUUGUAGGCUUUGGAAACUGUUUAACUUGAGUGCAGAAGGGGAGAGUGGAAUUCCAUGUGUAGCGGUGAAAUGCGUAGAUAUAUGGAGGAACACCGGUGGCGAAAGCGGCUCUCUGGUCUGUAACUGACGCGGAGGCUCGAAAGCGUGGGGAGCAAACAGG
RNAcentral lists this ribosomal RNA (429 nucleotides) under Bacteroidota bacterium. Its description in RNAcentral is "Bacteroidetes bacterium partial 16S ribosomal RNA". It matches the Rfam family "Bacterial small subunit ribosomal RNA", at positions 355 to 776 of the family's 1533-position model. Lineage: Bacteria; Pseudomonadati; Bacteroidota. The record is from RNAcentral.